ACGAACGCUGGCGGCGUGCUUAACACAUGCAAGUCGAACGGAAAGGCCCUGCUUUUGUGGGGUGCUCGAGUGGCGAACGGGUGAGUAACACGUGAGUAACCUGCCCUUGACUUUGGGAUAACUUCAGGAAACUGGGGCUAAUACCGGAUAGGAGCUCCUGCUGCAUGGUGGGGGUUGGAAAGUUUCGGCGGUUGGGGAUGGACUCGCGGCUUAUCAGCUUGUUGGUGGGGUAGUGGCUUACCAAGGCUUUGACGGGUAGCCGGCCUGAGAGGGUGACCGGCCACAUUGGGACUGAGAUACGGCCCAGACUCCUACGGGAGGCAGCAGUGGGGAAUAUUGCACAAUGGGCGGAAGCCUGAUGCAGCAACGCCGCGUGCGGGAUUACGGCCUUCGGGUUGUAAACCGCUUUCGCCUGUGACGAAGCGUGAGUGACGGUAAUGGGUAAAGAAGCACCGGCUAACUACGUG
This 467-nucleotide ribosomal RNA is filed under the name uncultured bacterium. RNAcentral's name for it is "partial 16S ribosomal RNA". It matches the Rfam family "Bacterial small subunit ribosomal RNA", at positions 29 to 507 of the family's 1533-position model. The record is from RNAcentral.